AUUCAACUGACGAGUCCCAAAUAAGAUAAAACACCCGUCCUGGAU
This 45-nucleotide non-coding RNA is filed under the name Schistosoma curassoni. Lineage: Eukaryota; Metazoa; Platyhelminthes; Trematoda; Strigeidida; Schistosomatidae. The record is from RNAcentral.